CCUAAUAAACCAUCGCAGCAGGCAAGAAAUCGAGGGACGGAGCAUGGUUGCACGCCAGGAUUUCAGACAUAAUGUGAAAGGACCGGUGGUAGCACCCUACGCCCUAAGACCACCCUUAGCUAGCUCCUAAUUUACGUGAAAAAUGGGGUAGGGCUUAUCUUCCCUGAAUUACCCAAAAAAAAUAUUUAAAGAUAAAAAAGAUGAACGGCUUGGGGGCUGGGCCAGGUCAUGGGACUGGCAC
Molecule: long non-coding RNA, 241 nt
Filed under: Amborella trichopoda
Lineage: Eukaryota; Viridiplantae; Streptophyta; Magnoliopsida; Amborellales; Amborellaceae
Description: long non-coding RNA (ATRI_LNC005187)
Source: RNAcentral